Molecule: ribosomal RNA, 460 nt
Filed under: uncultured bacterium
Lineage: Bacteria
Description: partial 16S ribosomal RNA
Rfam family: Bacterial small subunit ribosomal RNA
Source: RNAcentral
CCUACGGGAGGCAGCAGUGAGGAAUAUUGGUCAAUGGACGAGAGUCUGAACCAGCCAAGUAGCGUGAAGGAUGACUGCCCUAUGGGUUGUAAACUUCUUUUAUAUGGGAAUAAAAUGUUCCACGUGUGGGAUUUUGUAUGUCCCAUAUGAAUAAGGAUCGGCUAACUCCGUGCCAGCAGCCGCGGUAAUACGGAGGAUCCGAGCGUUAUCCGGAUUUAUUGGGUUUAAAGGGAGCGUAGGUGGAUUGUUAAGUCAGUUGUGAAAGUUUGCGGCUCAACCGUAAAAUUGCAGUUGAAACUGGCAGUCGUGAGUACAGUAGAGGUGGGCGGAAUUCGUGGUGUAGCGGUGAAAUGCGUAGAUAUCACGAAGAACUCCGAUUGCGAAGGCAGCUCACUGGACUGCAACUGACACUGAGGCUCGAAAGUGUGGGUAUCAAACAGGAUUAGAUACCCCAGUAGUC